UUAAAUUGAAGAGUUUGAUCAUGGCUCAGAUUGAACGCUGGCGGCAGGCCUAACACAUGCAAGUCGAACGGUAACAGGAAGCAGCUUGCUGCUUCGCUGACGAGUGGCGGACGGGUGAGUAAUGUCUGGGAAGCUGCCUGAUGGAGGGGGAUAACUACUGGAAACGGUAGCUAAUACCGCAUAAUGUCGCAAGACCAAAGAGGGGGACAUUCGGGCAUCUUGCCAUCGGAUGUGCCCAGAUGGGAUUAGCUAGU
Molecule: ribosomal RNA, 254 nt
Filed under: Escherichia coli
Lineage: Bacteria; Pseudomonadati; Pseudomonadota; Gammaproteobacteria; Enterobacterales; Enterobacteriaceae
Description: partial 16S ribosomal RNA
Rfam family: Bacterial small subunit ribosomal RNA
Source: RNAcentral